Molecule: RNase MRP RNA, 295 nt
Filed under: Cavia aperea (Brazilian guinea pig)
Lineage: Eukaryota; Metazoa; Chordata; Mammalia; Rodentia; Caviidae
Description: RNase MRP (ENSCAPG00000000867.1)
Rfam family: RNase MRP
About the family: RNase MRP is an enzymatically active ribonucleoprotein with two distinct roles in eukaryotes.
Source: RNAcentral
GUUUGCGCUGAAGGCCUAUUUCCUAGGCUACACGCGGGGGACUUGUUCCUCAUCUGGUUGCCUAGGGGAAAGUCCCCGGACCUUGGGCAGAAAGUGCCACGUGCUUACGCACGUAGACCCUCCCCACCCUUCACACUUAGCCCGCUAAGAAGCAAACCCACUCUCUGGGAUGGGAAGCUAAGCGGCGUGUUGUGGGACGUCAUCCGUCAGCUGUCAUAGUGACACAGGCAGUGUGCACCAACCAAACCCGGCUGCAUUUAAAAAAAAAAAAAAAAAAAGGAGCCAACACCGCAAA